Molecule: long non-coding RNA, 1963 nt
Filed under: Salmo salar (Atlantic salmon)
Lineage: Eukaryota; Metazoa; Chordata; Actinopteri; Salmoniformes; Salmonidae
Description: lncRNA (ENSSSAG00000088863.1)
Source: RNAcentral
UCUUUCAUGGAAUCCAUUCACACUUUGACUUUCAUUCUUGAUUCAUUUUGUUGUUCUUUUACUGAUUCAAUUAAAUAAUCAUGAAAAACAUUAUGAACCCACUUAUGCUCUCAAAUCACAAGUGACAGUCAUAUACUCAGCUGUAUUUGAUGUAAAAGUACUGCAAAUGUAUGUGCGUACGCCUGUAUACAAGUACAGUGCCUUUUGUAAAGUAUUCAGAACCCUUUACUUUUUCCACAUUUUGUUACAUUACAGCCUUAAUCUACAAUGGAUUAAAAAAAAAAAUCCCCUCAUCAAUCUACGCACAAUACAUUUACAUCAUUUAGCAGACGCUCUUAUCCAGAGCGACUUACAGUAGUGAAUGCAUACAUUUCAUUUCAUGCAUUUUUUGUACUGGCCACCCAUGUCAGGUUGGAUGGAGAGCAUGGAUGUACAGCUUUGUCCGGGCUCUGGCUGGGCCACUCAAGGACAUUCAGAGACUUGUCCCGCUUGUCCCACUCCUGCUUUGUCUUGGCUGUGUGUGUAACCGAUGUGAAAUGGCUAGCUAGUUAGCGGUGGUGCGCGCUAAUAGCGUUUCAAUCGGUGACGUCACUCGCUCUGAGACCUGAAGUAGUUGCUCUGAGACCUGCAAGGGGCGUGGCUUUUGUGUUGCGAUGGGUAACAAUGCUUUGUGGGUGUCAAUUGUUGAUGUGUGCAGAGGGUCCCUGGUUCAAGCCCAGGUUGGGGCGAGGAGAGGUACGGAAUCUAUACUGUUACAUGUGCUUAGGGGUGUUGUCUUUUUGGAAGGUUAACCUUAGCCCCAGUCUGAGCGCUCUAGAGCAUGUUUUACCAAGGAUCUCGCUGUACUUUCCUCCGUUCAUCUUUGCCUCAAUCCUGACUAGUCUCCCAGUCCCUUCCGCUGAGAAACAUCCCAACAGGGAUGGUGCCUGGUUUCCUCCAGACGUGACACUUGGCAUUCAGGCCAAAGAGUUCUAUCUUGGUUUCAUCAGACCAGAGAAUCUUGUUUCUCAUGGUCUGAGAGUCCUUUAGGUGCCUUUUGGCAAACUCCAAGCGACCUGUCAUGUGCCUUUUACUGAGGAGUGGCUUCCGUGUGGCCACUUUACCAUAAAGGCCUGAUUGGUGGAGUGCUGCAGAGAUGGUUGUCCUUCUGGAACUCUAGAGCUCUGUCAGAGUGACCAUCAGGUUGUUGGUCACCUCCCUGAUCAAGGCCCUUCUCCCCCGAUUGCUCAGUUUGGAAAGGAGACUAGCUCUAGAAAGUCUAGGAGUCUUGGUGGUUCCAAACUUCUUCCAUUUAAGAAUGAUGGAGGUCACUAUGUUCUUGGGGACCUUCAAUGCUGCAGAAAUGUUUUGGUACUGUUCCCCAGAUCUGUGCCGUGACACAAUCCUGUCUAGGAGCUCUACGGACAAUUCCUUCGACCACAUGGCUUGGUUUUUGCUUUGACAUGCACUGUGAACUGUGGAACCUUAUAUAGACAGCUGUGUGCCUUUCCAAAUCAUGUCCAAUCAAUUGAAUUUACCACAGGUGGACUCCAAUCAAAUUGUAGAAACAUCUCAAGGAUGAUCAAUGGAAACAGGAUGCAUCUGAGAUCAAUUUCGAGUCUAAUAGCAAAUGGUCUGAAUACUUAUAUAAAUAAGGUAUUUCUAUAUAUUUUUUUUCAUUCUAAAACCAGUGUUUUGCUUUGUCAUUGUGGGGUAUUGUGUGUAGAUGCUGAGGAUUUUUUUUCUUCAAUCCAAUUUAAAAUAAGGCUGUUACACAAAAUGUGUAAAAUGUCAUUGGGUCUGAAUACUUUUCCAAAGGCACUGUAUGUGGAUGACAUUGCUGUAUGUGUGUGUGCAUGUACGUGUGCAUGCGUGUACGUGUACAUGCAUGCAAGUAUGUGGAUGACAUUGCUGUUUACAAACCCUGAAGAAAGUGAUUUCGCAUUAUUUUCAAUAAAAUUAUGCAAUUUGCAUUGUACAAUGA